UUACUUUUGACAGAAUUGAUGUGCAGUUGAUCUUUGUAUCGUCAACUUCCAAGAAUCACAGUGGUCAUUGGGUUUGGUACAUCAUUUGUGGCCGUUGUAGGUUUUACAGUGAUUUUCUCGUCAGAGAAUGCGGAUACCAAAGAGAAAUGAAGAGAGGAGAGAGAGAAGAAAGAGAGCAGAGAGCAAAAGAAAUAGAGAGAAAAGGAAAAGAGAAAUAGAAGAGAGUGAAUAAAAAAGCACAAUAAAUGACAUUAGGGACUGAUCUUUAUGUUAGACACGUGAAUAGGCAUUGAUCCGCACUUUAAGCCUUGUGUACUGUUUCGUUGAUUUAGGACGAGUUUUAUUUUUUGACAGUUCUGAGUUUUGUUUCCUUUGCAUUUUUCCUUGUGGUUGGUUAUUUUUACUAUGUCACAGUUUUGUAUCAGGCAAAUGACGCAUAAGUAGAUAUUGAAUCAAUGUCCUUGUCCCGUGAGGCGAUAAGUCAAAUUAGAGAAAAUGUCGUUGAGAUUGGAAAGUAUGAAUACGAGAUAAUACAUUUUUUUAAAUGAAUAUUUUCGGUUUAUUGAUUAGUGCCUACAUCGCUUUAUAGUCGAGUAAUUGCACUGUUCUAGAAAUAAUCGUACCUUAUUAUACGUUCUUUUGAACGAUCACUUUUACUUCUAUAUGACGGACUGAAAUACAACACAUUUUAGGGAACGCUUUGAAGAUAUAGAUUGCAUGUGGGAGACAUUCGAGAAGAAGUUAUGGGGUCAUGUUUCCAACUUCUUCAAACUUUCUAAACAGAGAAAAUCGAGAUCAACAACUAGCUACAAAAGCGGCUGAAGCUGAAGGAGGUGGUGUAAUGGAGCUUAUAGCAAAUCCUCGUACAAAUACCAUGUAUUUACCUGGUCAACUUACGCAUCAGCGCUUUGUCUCUCAUGAUUUAGUUUUUACCGCAUGUUUUGUGCAUGUUGACAAUUCGAAGCAAUUUCGCACGAGGGUUUUAAUUAAUAAAUAGGAAAUCUACAACUAAAACGUUGUCGUGUAGAAAUCUUACACAGCAGAUUGGUAAUAAUGUGUGAUUUUUACUUUUGGGGUUUUACCUAGAGGUGACGUAAUUGGAGGAGCAAAGAGAGUGAACUGUCAUUUGACCCGACCCGUGCUAACAUUUUUCUAGGUCGAGAGUUCGCCGCACGUGCUUAGAUUAUCGACAAACUAAUGCAAUUCAUUGGUGUAAAAUGUAAAUAUUGAACAUGCUACUAAUGUAAAUAUUAGUCACGAUUAGUUAAAUAAUUGAAACUUAAUUUUUGGAUCA
Erythranthe guttata (spotted monkey flower) is the source of this 1294-nucleotide non-coding RNA. Lineage: Eukaryota; Viridiplantae; Streptophyta; Magnoliopsida; Lamiales; Phrymaceae. The record is from RefSeq and is a predicted model, not a curated record.